AAAUUGAAGAGUUUGAUCAUGGCUCAGAUUGAACGCUGGCGGCAGGCCUAACACAUGCAAGUCGAACGGUAACAGGAAGCAGCUUGCUGCUUUGCUGACGAGUGGCGGACGGGUGAGUAAUGUCUGGGAAACUGCCUGAUGGAGGGGGAUAACUACUGGAAACGGUGGCUAAUACCGCAUAACGUCGCAAGACCAAAGAGGGGGACCUUCGGGCCUCUUGCCAUCAGAUGUGCCCAGAUGGGAUUAGCUUGUUGGUGAGGUAACGGCUCACCAAGGCGACGAUCCCUAGCUGGUCUGAGAGGAUGACCAGCCACACUGGAACUGAGACACGGUCCAGACUCCUACGGGAGGCAGCAGUGGGGAAUAUUGCACAAUGGGCGCAAGCCUGAUGCAGCCAUGCCGCGUGUAUGAAGAAGGCCUUCGGGUUGUAAAGUACUUUCAGCGGGGAGGAAGGUGUUGUGGUUAAUAACCGCAGCAAUUGACGUUACCCGCAGAAGAAGCACCGGCUAACUCCGUGCCAGCAGCCGCGGUAAUACGGAGGGUGCAAGCGUUAAUCGGAAUUACUGGGCGUAAAGCGCACGCAGGCGGUCUGUCAAGUCGGAUGUGAAAUCCCCGGGCUCAACCUGGGAACUGCAUUCGAAACUGGCAGGCUUGAGUCUUGUAGAGGGGGGUAGAAUUCCAGGUGUAGCGGUGAAAUGCGUAGAGAUCUGGAGGAAUACCGGUGGCGAAGGCGGCCCCCUGGACAAAGACUGACGCUCAGGUGCGAAAGCGUGGGGAGCAAACAGGAUUAGAUACCCUGGUAGUCCACGCCGUAAACGAUGUCUACUUGGAGGUUGUGCCCUUGAGGCGUGGCUUCCGGAGCUAACGCGUUAAGUAGACCGCCUGGGGAGUACGGCCGCAAGGUUAAAACUCAAAUGAAUUGACGGGGGCCCGCACAAGCGGUGGAGCAUGUGGUUUAAUUCGAUGCAACGCGAAGAACCUUACCUGGUCUUGACAUCCACAGAACUUUCCAGAGAUGGAUUGGUGCCUUCGGGAACUGUGAGACAGGUGCUGCAUGGCUGUCGUCAGCUCGUGUUGUGAAAUGUUGGGUUAAGUCCCGCAACGAGCGCAACCCUUAUCCUUUGUUGCCAGCGGUCCGGCCGGGAACUCAAAGGAGACUGCCAGUGAUAAAC
Molecule: ribosomal RNA, 1172 nt
Filed under: Salmonella enterica subsp. enterica serovar Lomalinda
Lineage: Bacteria; Pseudomonadati; Pseudomonadota; Gammaproteobacteria; Enterobacterales; Enterobacteriaceae
Description: bacterial SSU rRNA
Rfam family: Bacterial small subunit ribosomal RNA
Source: RNAcentral